This 477-nucleotide long non-coding RNA is filed under the name Nicotiana tabacum (common tobacco). RNAcentral's name for it is "long non-coding RNA (NTAB_LNC010090)". The record is from RNAcentral. Lineage: Eukaryota; Viridiplantae; Streptophyta; Magnoliopsida; Solanales; Solanaceae.
GACAGUUUCGCAAUUUGUCUGAUUGUCAGCUGAAGUGCCUUUUGAUUUUGAUAGAUUGAGGCCAUCGACACAAAAGGCUAUUGCUCUGGCUGCUGAGGUCAAGACUCUGCAGAAAGAAAAGGAACAUUUGAGGAUAAAUCUCCAUAAAGCUGAAGAUGAGGUAAGUAGAUUUAUAGAGGGAGAAAAAGCGUUUGAUCUCUUGUCGAUUAUGUAAAUUGAGAAUACAUGAUAAUUUUCUGAUAUGUAGGUGCAGGUGUUGUUCGAAGAAAACCGUGUUUUGGAUAAGGAGAAUAAAAGGCUGAUAAGGCUAUACCAGAAAGAGAAGAACACACCUAGUUCUGUUGGAAAACCUUCUUCUGGCAAGGUGAACUUCUAAGAGUUUCUUUUGGGCUUUUAGCCUGAUCUUUUGUUUCCUCUCGAUGCGUUAUUAGACGCAGCCGUUCAUAACUUAAUAUUUCUGUUUAUCUUUAAUUGUUC